Marmota monax (woodchuck) is the source of this 1694-nucleotide long non-coding RNA. RefSeq lists it as uncharacterized. The record is from RefSeq and is a predicted model, not a curated record. Lineage: Eukaryota; Metazoa; Chordata; Mammalia; Rodentia; Sciuridae. The transcript is spliced from 4 exons.
GUACUUCCUGUUUCGGACCUGCUGGAGCUACUCAGAGCCUGCGUUUUUGAGAAUGCUCACUUGUAAAUGCUAACAGAAGAUAUCUUUUUCAGAUAUAGUUUAAUUUCACAGGUUCUAUGUUGCAGCCCUAAACUUAAAAUGCUUCAACAGAGAGGAAGAACACAUUGGGGAUCCAAAAAAGAAGAAAAAAAAUCAUCUCUGGCCUCGCCAGUCCAGUGCUGUGAGCUGGGCCCUCCAUGGAGAAGGAACCUGAGUUUGCUGAUCCUAAGGGAAAUGCUGUUGUGGAGGCCACGGGGGCAUUAUCUAUCAAGGAGACAGAGAGCCCUCUCGGGGACAAUGCCUUGCACACUCCACAUCACCCUGUUUGGCCCCGGAGGAUGGCUGGUUAGUCAAAUAUGGGGUUCUCCUUCAGCAACAAAUUUAAUAAAAGGGGAGGAGGUGUUGGAAAAACUUCCAGUUACAACUAGCAGCUACGAGCAGCUUGCAGUGCUUGAGGAAUCCGCAUUCCUUCAGGCCUGACAGGAACACCUGCAGGAUGGGGUGCUCUGCUCUAGGAGCCGUCCAUGAAACCACAUCCUCCGCACUGUGGUUAGCAUUGCCAAACUACCAGGCCAGGAAACCGAGUCAGGGGCUGCAGGGCAUGAAAUCCCUGACUCAAUAAGCCCUUCUCUUAGGGCCAAAGACCCUUUCAGAUUGCUUUCCACCACGACAGCAAUAUUUAGAGUUUCCUCACAGUGUGGUUACAUUAGGCAGAAGAUGAUUGGCUUAUGGAUAUUGUCUUGCUUAUGUAUGAUUGACAGGCACGUCCCACUCAAACCCUAUAACAGUUGUGUGCAUUCCAAAAAGAAACUGAGCUACUGGAGUCGAGUUGAGGUUUGUCACCAGUCAGUUCUCACCAGCUCCCGGAGUCUGUGUGUUGAGUCCGAAUGUCUCUUACCCCCCCACACCCCUGCGACUAAGUUAGCCAAGCAACUAAUUCACCACACCAGUGACAGGAACAUAUGCAAGACAGCAUAUGAGAAACCUAAACCAGCCAAUUAUGCUGGUCUUUAAUGAUACAGUAUAUAUGAACAAUUGUCAGAAAGAUUAUUAAAAUAGAUUUUCCAAGAGUAUUUACAUUACUGACAGACCUAAUAGACUCCUUAAAUGUGAGAAUUAAGAAAAAAGAUGAUAAAUAUCUUGUAACCUGUAAAAAUACAACUUAUUGUAUCAUUAGUUUAUUGCCAGCUAAUAUUUCAGAGCUAUGAUAUGCUGAGGUUAAUAUUCAGGCUUUAAAACAGGUGUAUGUCAAUUAACCAGACCUAAGCAAACUGCUGGUCUCAUAAUCCCUAAAGUGACUACUUUAAAUAUUAUUCCUUGCUUAUUCAAUUGUAGCCUUUGUGGCUAUACCUUAAAAUUUACAAUGUAUGGAUUUUCUUAAUGUUUGACUUAAAUUACUUCCAAAAUCCUUCAUGGUCAGAUAAGCUGAUGGAAGGAUGAGAACUAAGUUAUAAUGCUCUAGAAGACAAUGUAAUAAAUAAUGUGAAUGAGCCCUCUGCUAAUGAAAAUGUCUAUGUUACUAUGGCCAAAUGCAAUGCCUCCCAAUAAAAUUGGAAAAAGAUUAAGAAUCUUCUGAUGAGUGUUUGGUGAAGUAAUAAUAAUAACCUGGAUCUUCCAAGUUGAUUGUGUUAUUAAAAUGGUAUGUUUUCUACUGA